RNAcentral lists this ribosomal RNA (1219 nucleotides) under Novacerus sp. FZ-2019. RNAcentral describes it as "16S ribosomal RNA". Lineage: Eukaryota; Metazoa; Arthropoda; Collembola; Entomobryomorpha; Tomoceridae. The record is from RNAcentral.
UUUAUUUAAAAAUAUACUUAUUUAAUUUUUUAUUAUUUUUAGUACCAUAAAGAAUUAAUAUUAAUAAAUUUUAACUGUGAAGGUUAAUUUAAAUAUUUAAAAUAUAAAAUAAAUUAAAAGAAUAAAUAUUACCUUUUGUAUCAGUGAUUUUUUAUUAUUAUAAAAUAUUAUUUUAUUCUCGAAUAAUUAAGGGUUAGGUUAAAUUUUAUAAUUUACGUUAAAUAGUAGGUAUUAAAAUGUUUAYUURGAGUUAAUAUGGCAUUCGAUUAAUUUUAUCUAGUUAAUUUAAAAUAAAUUUAAUUUAAAAUAAAAAUUAUAUUAAUUUUAAUAUUUAUAUUAAUAAUUUUUAUUUUAAUAAUUAAAGGGAUUAGCUUUUAAUUAAAAAUUAAUUAUAAUUUUUUAUAAUGAAUUUAUUAUUUAAUAGGCUUAAAGACAGCUAAUUUAAAAUUAAGUUAAAUUUUAUUUAAUGAAUAUAUUUAUUUUUAUAAAUUUAAUUUAAUAAUUUUUGAUUUAUACAUCUAUAGAGUAAUUUUAUUAAUAAAAGUAUAAGUAUUUAUUUAAAAAUAUAAAUUUUGUAUUUAAAUUAUAAAGUUAAAUAACUUUGCAAAAAAAAUUAUGAAUGUUUAACAAAAACAUUUCUUAUAGAUUAUAUUUUAAGUAAGUCCUGCCCACUGAAAUAUUUAAGGGCCGCGGUAUAUUGACCGUGCAAAGGUAGCAUAAUAAUUAGUCUCUUAAUUAGGGAAUAGAAUGAAUGGAUAAACAUAUUUUUACUUUUUUAGCUUUAAAUAAAUAAUUUUAAUUUUUAGUGAAAAUUCUUAAAUGUUAUUAAAAGACGAUAAGACCCUAUAGAGUUUUAUAUUUUUAUUAAUUUUUAAAUUAAUUAAUAUAUUUAGUUGGGGCAACUUUAGAAUAAGAUAAAUUUCUUAAGUAAUAUUUUUGUUAAAAUUUUUUUAAAACUUAAGUUUUAAAAUUUAGAAAAAAUUACCUUAGGGAUAACAGUGUAAUAUUUUUUGAGAGUUCUUAUUGACAAAUUUGAUUACCACCUCGAUGUUGAAUUAAGGAUCCUUUAUUUAGCAGUAUACAUAAAAGGUAGUCUGUUCGACUAUUAAAUUCUUACAUGAUUUGAGUUCAAACCGGCGUGAGCCAGGUUGGUUUCUAUCUUUAAUAAAUACUUAUACUUUAUUAGUACGAAAGGACCAUAAAGGUUUAAUUAUUAAAU